RNAcentral lists this ribosomal RNA (492 nucleotides) under uncultured bacterium. RNAcentral's name for it is "partial 16S ribosomal RNA". It matches the Rfam family "Bacterial small subunit ribosomal RNA", at positions 29 to 507 of the family's 1533-position model. The record is from RNAcentral.
AGUGAACGCUGGCGGUAGGCCUAACACAUGCAAGUCGAACGGCAGCACAGUAAGAGCUUGCUCUUACGGGUGGCGAGUGGCGGACGGGUGAGGAAUACAUCGGAAUCUACUUUUUCGUGGGGGAUAACGUAGGGAAACUUACGCUAAUACCGCAUACGACCUACGGGUGAAAGCAGGGGAUCUUCGGACCUUGCGCGAUUGUAUGAGCCGAUGUCGGAUUAGCUAGUUGGCGGGGUAAAGGCCCACCAAGGCGACGAUCCGUAGCUGGUCUGAGAGGAUGAUCAGCCACACUGGAACUGAGACACGGUCCAGACUCCUACGGGAGGCAGCAGUGGGGAAUAUUGGACAAUGGGCGCAAGCCUGAUCCAGCCAUACCGCGUGGGUGAAGAAGGCCUUCGGGCUGUAAAGCCCUGUUGUUGGGAAAGAAAAGCAGCAGGUUAAUACGCCGCUGUUCUGACGGUACCCAAAGAAUAAGCACCGGCUAACUUCGUG